CCUCAUACAAAAUGAAAAAUUAAACUAAUAAGACGAGAACGCCUCUUCAUCUUCCCUAUGCCAGUUAAACCCUUUAUGAAACCCAUUAAACCAAUUUUCAUAAAUCAUGGAUUCUCCAUUCCUUCCGGUUCCGUUCAACACACAACAACCAAACCACCACUGCUCUGUUUCCUGUUGCGGCGCAGGAGUCAUAGCAAGAACCAACGAGCCACCCCCCGCCUCUGUCACGAACCAACCACCAUCCGGAGUCGCCUCUAGCUUCGCUCGCCGGAGCCAUAUGAUGAAAAUGAGAUUGCUGCCUUCUCUUCCGGGUGGCUUGGAAUUCCUAAAGACUGGCUUGAAUGUAGAAACUAUUAAGCAUUAUUGGGAAUUGUUAUGAACGUAGAAAUGAUAGAGGCCGAUUCGAGAUGGCUAAUCUCCCAAGAGACCCAUUGAGUGGGUUAGGCUCCAAGAACUAGAUAAGAGAAAUAAACAAUACUUUUUUCAAUAAUUUUCUUCUUAACAUUUAAUAAAACCAAAGGCCUUAUAUAGGCUUACAAGAAGCAACGUGAUACCAGUAGCGGAAUGGUUCUAGCAAUUUUUAAAUUUA
Molecule: long non-coding RNA, 589 nt
Organism: Helianthus annuus (common sunflower)
Lineage: Eukaryota; Viridiplantae; Streptophyta; Magnoliopsida; Asterales; Asteraceae
Exons: 2
Source: RefSeq, a predicted model, not a curated record